Molecule: ribosomal RNA, 371 nt
Filed under: uncultured bacterium
Lineage: Bacteria
Description: bacterial SSU rRNA
Rfam family: Bacterial small subunit ribosomal RNA
Source: RNAcentral
AGAGGUCCCAAGCGUUGUUCGGAUUCACUGGGCGUAAAGGGUGCGUAGGUGGUGAGGUAAGUCGGAUGUGAAAUAUCCGAGCUCAACUCGGAAAUGGCAUUGGAAACUACCUUGCUCGAGGGUUGGAGGGGGGACUGGAAUGCUUGGUGUAGCAGUGAAAUGCGUAGAUAUCAAGCGGAACACCAGUGGCGAAGGCGAGUCCCUGGACAACUCCUGACACUGAGGCACGAAAGCUAGGGGAGCAAACAGGAUUAGAUACCCUGGUAGUCCUAGCCGUAAACGGUGCACGUUUGCUGUAAAAGGAAUCGACCCCUUUUGUGGCGUAGCCAACGCGUUAAACGUGCCGCCUGGGAAGUACGGUCGCAAGAUUA